AACGAACGCUGGCGGCAUGCCUAACACAUGCAAGUCGAACGAGACCUUCGGGUCUAGUGGCGCACGGGUGCGUAACGCGUGGGAACCUGCCCUUAGGUUCGGAAUAACUACCCGAAAGGGGUGCUAAUACCGGAUAAUGUCUUCGGACCAAAGAUUUAUCGCCUUUGGAUGGGCCCGCGUUGGAUUAGCUAGUUGGUAGGGUAAAAGCCUACCAAGGCGACGAUCCAUAGCUGGUCUGAGAGGAUGAUCAGCCACACUAGGACUGAGACACGGCCCAGACUCCUACGGGAUGCAGCAGUGGGGAAUAUUGGACAAUGGGCGAAAGCCUGAUCCAGCAAUGCCGCGUGAGUGAUGAAGUCCUUAGGGUUGUAAAGCUCUUUUACCCGGGAUGAUAAUGACAGUACCGGGAGAAUAAGCUCCGGCUAACUCCGUG
RNAcentral lists this ribosomal RNA (433 nucleotides) under uncultured bacterium. Its description in RNAcentral is "partial 16S ribosomal RNA". It matches the Rfam family "Bacterial small subunit ribosomal RNA", at positions 29 to 507 of the family's 1533-position model. The record is from RNAcentral.